This 330-nucleotide ribosomal RNA is filed under the name uncultured bacterium. RNAcentral describes it as "bacterial SSU rRNA". It matches the Rfam family "Bacterial small subunit ribosomal RNA", at positions 66 to 422 of the family's 1533-position model. The record is from RNAcentral.
GCGGGCGUAGCAAUACGUCAGCGGCAGACGGGUGAGUAACGCGUGGGAACGUACCUUUUGGUUCGGAACAACACAGGGAAACUUGUGCUAAUACCGAAUAAGCCCUUACGGGGAAAGAUUUAUCGCCGAAAGAUCGGCCCGCGUCUGAUUAGCUAGUUGGUGAGGUAACGGCUCACCAAGGCGACGAUCAGUAGCUGGUCUGAGAGGAUGAUCAGCCACACUGGGACUGAGACACGGCCCAGACUCCUACGGGAGGCAGCAGUGGGGAAUAUUGGACAAUGGGCGAAAGCCUGAUCCAGCAAUGCCGCGUGAGUGAUGAAGGCCUUAGGG